Molecule: non-coding RNA, 98 nt
Organism: Paramuricea clavata
Lineage: Eukaryota; Metazoa; Cnidaria; Anthozoa; Malacalcyonacea; Plexauridae
Source: the annotation of a GenBank genome assembly
CCAGAUAAACAUAUGAACAUGCGAAAAUUGUAACGCCCAAAAUUUAUACAAAUUUUUAAAAAUUUGUAUAAAUUUUGGGCGUUACAAUUUUCGCAUGU